AUUGAACGCUGGCGGCAGGCCUAACACAUGCAAGUCGAGCGGAUGAGGGUAGCUUGCUACCUGAUUCAGCGGCGGACGGGUGAGUAAUGCCUAGGAAUCUGCCUGGUAGUGGGGGACAACGUUUCGAAAGGAACGCUAAUACCGCGUACGUCCUACGGGAGAAAGUGGGGGAUCUUCGGACCUCACGCUAUCAGAUGAGCCUAGGUCGGAUUAGCUAGUUGGUGGGGUAAAGGCUCACCAAGGCGACGAUCCGUAACUGGUCUGAGAGGAUGAUCAGUCACACUGGAACUGAGACACGGUCCAGACUCCUACGGGAGGCAGCAGUGGGGAAUAUUGGACAAUGGGCGCAAGCCUGAUCCAGCCAUGCCGCGUGUGUGAAGAAGGUCUUCGGAUUGUAAAGCACUUUAAGUUGGGAGGAAGGCAGUAAGUUAAUACCUUGCUGUUUUGACGUUACCGACAGAAUAAGCACCGGCUAACUCUGUGCCAGCAGCCG
This 493-nucleotide ribosomal RNA is filed under the name uncultured bacterium. Its description in RNAcentral is "bacterial SSU rRNA". It matches the Rfam family "Bacterial small subunit ribosomal RNA", at positions 30 to 517 of the family's 1533-position model. The record is from RNAcentral.